Molecule: unclassified non-coding RNA, 3002 nt
Filed under: Leishmania donovani
Lineage: Eukaryota; Euglenozoa; Kinetoplastea; Trypanosomatida; Trypanosomatidae
Description: gene:LdHU3.29.0820(CDS-product:Ankyrin_repeats_(3 _copies)_putative)
Source: RNAcentral
CCAGCCGUGCUCCUUGAGUCCGCUUGUGCCGGUUCUUUCCCCACCUCCUCGCCAACACGCACACCCGCAAGGGUGAGGUUGAACCUUUGAAGCGUUGCUCUCUCUCUCUUUCUUGCCCAUCGAGAUGGUCAAGCAGCGACGGUGCAACAUUCCGCCUGAACUGCGUGCCAUGGCUCGUGCCGUGUCUGAUGCCGACACCCGCCAGUUCCCGGACCUUGCCCCUGCGCCGGGGCGCGCCGGCCCUCCAGUGAGCGCGCUGCGCCACAUCACCACGGAGUUGAAUGACGAUAAGCCUCUAAGUGCUCGGGAGUUUAAGCUGUUCCGUGCCGCCUGCGAGGAGUGUCGCCAGCACCUUCACAGCGUCACGAACGGCAUCAUCGCGUCAGGGACACCGAUUGCUGAUGUGCUGGUGCUGGCGGUCCGCAUGGACAUCCUCUGCACCGAUCUCGGCCUCUCCCUGCCAGCGGUGUUUCCCACGCUGCGGGAGAUCCACACGUAUCUACUCGAUCUUAGUGAUCAGCUGGCACUCGGCCGCGGCGAGUUGCAGCGACAGGGCGUCCUUCUAGACCGCCUGAUGCGCUUCCUUCACAGUGUUCUCGAGCGGGGUGAGCGGGCCUUGCGUGAUCACGAGACAUGGGAGACGCAGCGCGAUACCUCCAACCCGGAUCGUGGCGCACUCAAGGCGGAGAGUAGCAUGGCCGCCGCUAGUGCGGUUGCCAACUCACCGCGCGAAGCCGUGCGCGUCUAUAGUGCAGGAAACAGUUGCCGGACGAAUGCGGCGGCCAGCGAUAUCGCGUUGGUCUCCUGCCGUGCCUCCCCACGACAGCCGUCCGCGCACGAGUCUUCCAUGGCUGCUGCACCGCAACCAAAGGCGUACCGGGAGACCACCGCCGCCGCGGCUGCAGGUGCCACCGUCGCUGAUACGCAGGAGCUUAUCCCAGUGAGCGGGCAGCACCUUCUCCCCCUCCACGUCGCCGACGCCGUUGCCAGCGUGAACGCCGACCUGGAUGUGCAUUUCGCGCACAUCCGAUGGUACGUGAAGGCGACAGACGAGGCGCCUGUGUACUUCGAUGCUCACGCGCACCUGGAGGACAACAUGCUGCGGAACGCGUGGGACGUCCAUGUGGGACGCAACCGCGCCGCGUGCACGACGGAGGAGUUCCUUCCCUUCCUGCCGCUGUUCCCGUCGUGGACGCAUGGGGUUAUCAUGGCGGUGCUGAACUUCAAGGACUGCGGCGUCAUCUCGCUUUACUCGCUGCAACGGUUUCUGAGUGUGUGGGGACCACUGCAGCUUCUGGAGGCGAACCUGCGCCACGAACUGGAGCUGGGUGCAGUGGACUUGUCGGAGCCGUUUGCCUACCUGGCCUUCUCCUUAGCCGCCCGGUCUGACGCAAUGGCUGGCGACUAUGUUGUGGGUCUCACCGAUGUUAUCGGCGAAGUGCGCGUAGCCGUCUUGCGUCGAGCCCGCGGGCAUCAUUGGCACCUGCGGGCGGCCCCGGGCGCUGCUCCCCGUUCCCUCUCCACGAAGAGGACGGGCAGAGGCUCUGCUACCAGCACCAUGACAUCACCGGCCCAGGCAGUGGCGGCGCCGCGCAAGCGCUUGGUCACCGUGUCCUACACCCUGUCCCACGCCACUGGUGCGUGGAUGGUGAAGGGGCUGGCGCGCGAAGAGUUCGACUCGGUCGCCGGCGCAUGUGCCGCCUUUGCGGAGAUCUUUCAGCGGCCAUGUGGGCAGCCGCUAAGGACCUCUUGCGCUGUGCCACUGCUGCCGACGUUGGCGCAUCCAGCACCGCUGCUGCCUCUGCAGGGCACGGGAAGCGGUUCCGUGGCGCCGGCCCCUUCGCUGCCCUCUUCCCCCGCUAACCCCGAGGAUGCCACCGAGGGCAAUGCCUCCGCCUUGCAUCGCGCCUGCUACCGCAACAAUGCCCGCUACGUCCGCACACUGCUGCACCGUGGCGGCGGCACAGUCAUCAACGUCGCCCUCGUGGACCCGCUGGUGAGCGACAGCUUCUGCUGGACCCCGCUGCUGUGCGCCGUCAACAAUCCGCACAGUGACCCGGUGGAGUUGGUGUUACAGCUGCUGGGGGCCGGUGCCGAGGUGGAGUACAUGGAUGACGCCGACUGCACCGCGCUCUACUACGCCAUCGCCAACGGGUAUGCCGAGACGACGCGUGUGCUGCUGGAGCACUGCCCGACGCUGUCGACUUCGCCCUACACGGUGCCGCUGCUUGUCGCGAUUGGCGCCCACGACUGCCACCUGCGCGCGUGCGAUGUGCAGAGGCUGAUGAUGGUGGUGCCGACGGCGGCUGUGCUGCGGGUGAUGGUGGCGUACGAAUCCAGCCUCGCCCUCGUCGCGCUUGCCUCGACCAUUGUGGAGGAGAAACUGAGUGGCAAGGACCAUAGUAUCUCAUCAGCGGAGCGAUACCUGGUGGCGCAGCGCUGCUCCGCGCCAGCGGAGCAGUACACCUCCGCAGAGACGGAGCAGCUAAAGCGGUGGGUGCAUCACCAUACCCAGUGCUGCCUGCGGGCACGCCAGAAUGUUCAGGAGGCGGUGCGGGUGCUGUACGCGCGACAGUACGCGUUGUCGUGGCGUGUGUGGCUUGACGCCUUGGGCGCCGAGAAGAGGGACGGUGCCGCGCCGCUGAGCCUGACGGAAGGCUGAAGGGUGUCGCUGCCAUCUUGAUCACCAGCGCAAGGGCCUCCGACUGCGCCGUCCCGCUCCCACCACGGACCCCGCCGCAUCGGCGGUGGCUCGUCUCUCCAGUCUUGGGGAAUCACUGUUGCCAACGAAGGGCGAGACAGUACGCAUCAAGUCAGCGCAGCAGCUAGUCGCCGUAGGAGCGCCCAUCGAGUCCUUGGCUUGUACAAAUCAGCGCCACAGCUAGGAUGACUACUUGUAUCUGUGUGUGUGUGUGCUGGUAGUCUUAUGCGGAUGUAAAUAGGCAACACGUUGUGUCUCUUUUUUUCGCUUUCUUUUCCUUUGUUGGCUUCACUGCUCUCUC